UAGAUACUCCCUCCGUCCCAAAAUUCUUGUCUUAGAUUUGUCUAGAUAUGAAUGUAUCUAGUCACGUUUUAGUAUUUUGAUACAUCCAUUUCUAGACAAACCUAAGACAGAUUUUUUGAGACGGAGGGAGUACUUU
RNAcentral lists this microRNA precursor (136 nucleotides) under Hordeum vulgare. RNAcentral's name for it is "microRNA MIR1122". It matches the Rfam family "MIR1120/MIR1122 microRNA precursor family". Lineage: Eukaryota; Viridiplantae; Streptophyta; Magnoliopsida; Poales; Poaceae. The record is from RNAcentral.